This 551-nucleotide ribosomal RNA is filed under the name Antrodiella afrocitrina. RNAcentral describes it as "SSU rRNA". It matches the Rfam family "Bacterial small subunit ribosomal RNA", at positions 361 to 950 of the family's 1533-position model. The record is from RNAcentral. Lineage: Eukaryota; Fungi; Basidiomycota; Agaricomycetes; Polyporales; Steccherinaceae.
AUAUUAGUCAAUGCUCCCCAGAGUGAACUAGCUAACUGAAAUCAUGUUUGUGCCAAAUGUGAUGUCGUAAGGGAACAUAAUGACACUACCUUACUAACAGUGUCGUCUAAGACCGGUGCCAGAAGACUCGGUAAGGCUGGAGACACGAAUGUUGAUCAUCUUAAUCAGGCGUAAAGGGUCUGUAGGCUGCUUAAACGACCUCUAAACCCUCCCCAAGUUUACAGGCCUACCUACUAGCUAGAAUCUAACAGAGGAUAACUACGAUACAAUACCUGGUUUAGGGCUGAUAUCCAAAGACCCCAGAUAGAGUACUCAAUGCGUAAGCAUUUAUCCACCUCAGAUUGACGCUGAGAAACGAAAGUGAGGACAGGAAAUAGGAUUAGAUACCCAGAUACCCCUCUCCGUCAACUAUGAAUGGUAGUUUACCUCUCCCCCCAGAUAGGUAACGAAGUUAACAUGUUUACCAUUCCGCCUUGUGAGUACAACUGCAAAGUCGAAAACAAAAAAAUUAGUCGGUCUCGGAGCAAACGAAGUGAAGUAUGUUAUUUAAU